RNAcentral lists this ribosomal RNA (490 nucleotides) under uncultured bacterium. Its description in RNAcentral is "bacterial SSU rRNA". It matches the Rfam family "Bacterial small subunit ribosomal RNA", at positions 33 to 507 of the family's 1533-position model. The record is from RNAcentral.
GACGACGACGCUGGCGGCGUGGAUUAGGCAUGCAAGUCGAACGGUAGGAUCCUUUCGGGGAUCUGAGAGUGGCGAACGGGUGAGUAACACGUAGGUGAUCUACCCUCAAGACGGGGACAACCCAGGGAAACUUGGGCUAAUACCGGAUGUGAGCUAUCGCGAGAUAGUUUGAAAGGUGGCUUCGGCUGCCGCUUGAGGAUGAGCCUGCGUCCUAUUAGCUAGUUGGUGAGGUAACGGCUCACCGAGGCAGUGAUAGGUAGGCGGCCUUAACGGGUGGUCGCCCACACUGGGAUUGAGAUACGGCCCAGACUCCUACGGGAGGCAGCAGUCGAGAAUAGUCUACAAUGGUCGAAAGACUGAUAGUGCGACGCCGCGUGAACGAAGAAGCCCUUCGGGGUGUAAAGUUCUUUUAUAUGUGAGCAGUGACACCCAUAUUAAUAGUAUGGGUGUAGAGAUAUUAGCAUAUGAAUAAGCAACGGCUAACUCCGUG